UGCUCUGAUGACACCAAACAAACUUUUUUCUGGUACCUCUUAUGUUAGGGUCUCCGGAUCCAAUGAAUGUAAUGGACUUCUGAUU
RNAcentral lists this small nucleolar RNA (85 nucleotides) under Scedosporium apiospermum. Its description in RNAcentral is "A. fumigatus snoRNA Afu_264". It matches the Rfam family "A. fumigatus snoRNA Afu_264". The record is from Rfam by way of RNAcentral. Lineage: Eukaryota; Fungi; Ascomycota; Sordariomycetes; Microascales; Microascaceae.